GAUGAACGCUGGCGGCGUGCUUAACACAUGCCAGUCGAACGAAGCACUUUAUUUGAUUUCCUUCGGGACUGAUUAUUUUGUGACUGAGUGGCGGACGGGUGAGUAACGCGUGGGUAACCUGCCUUGUACAGGGGGAUAACAGUUGGAAACGGCUGCUAAUACCGCAUAAGCGCACAGCAUCGCAUGAUGCAGUGUGAAAAACUCCGGUGGUAUAAGAUGGACCCGCGUUGAAUUAGCUAGUUGGUGAGGUAACGGCCCACCAAGGCGACGAUCCAUAGCCGACCUGAGAGGGUGACCGGCCACAUUGGGACUGAGACACGGCCCAAACUCCUACGGGAGGCAGCAGUGGGGAAUAUUGCACAAUGGGCGAAAGCCUGAUGCAGCGACGCCGCGUGAGCGAAGAAGUAUUUCGGUAUGUAAAGCUCUAUCAGCAGGGAAGAUAAUGACGGUACCUGACUAAGAAGCACCGGCUAAAUACGUG
This 481-nucleotide ribosomal RNA is filed under the name uncultured bacterium. RNAcentral's name for it is "partial 16S ribosomal RNA". It matches the Rfam family "Bacterial small subunit ribosomal RNA", at positions 28 to 507 of the family's 1533-position model. The record is from RNAcentral.